GAUGAACGCUGGCGGCGUGCCUAAUACAUGCAAGUCGAGCGAACAGACGAGGAGCUUGCUCCUCUGACGUUAGCGGCGGACGGGUGAGUAACACGUGGAUAACCUACCUAUAAGACUGGGAUAACUUCGGGAAACCGGAGCUAAUACCGGAUAAUAUAUUGAACCGCAUGGUUCAAUAGUGAAAGACGGUUUUGCUGUCACUUAUAGAUGGAUCCGCGCCGCAUUAGCUAGUUGGUAAGGUAACGGCUUACCAAGGCAACGAUGCGUAGCCGACCUGAGAGGGGGAUAGGCCACACUGGAAGUGAGACACGGUCCAGACUCCUAAGGGAGGCAGCAGUAGGGAAUCUUCCGCAAUGGGCGAAAGCCUGACGGAGCAACGCCGCGUGAGUGAUGAAGGUCUUCGGAUCGUAAAACUCUGUUAUUAGGGAAGAACAAAUGUGUAAGUAACUAUGCACGUCUUGACGGUACCUAAUCAGAAAGCCACGGCUAACUACGUG
Molecule: ribosomal RNA, 497 nt
Filed under: uncultured bacterium
Lineage: Bacteria
Description: partial 16S ribosomal RNA
Rfam family: Bacterial small subunit ribosomal RNA
Source: RNAcentral